CACCGGCGCCACAAGUGGGAAUCACAUUUAUUUGGCCUAAAGCGUUCGUAGCCGGCUGGGUAAAUCUCUUGUGAAAUCGUUUUGAUAAAACAAACGACGUGCAGGAGACACUGCUCAGCUAGGGACUGGGAGGAGUUGGGAGUAUGCCUAGGGGAGCAGUAAAAUGCUAUAAUCCUUGGUAGACUACCGGUGGCGAAGGCGCCCAACCAGAACAGAUCCGACGGUGAGGGACGAAAGCUAGGGGAGCAAUCCG
Molecule: ribosomal RNA, 253 nt
Filed under: uncultured archaeon
Lineage: Archaea
Description: partial 16S ribosomal RNA
Rfam family: Archaeal small subunit ribosomal RNA
Source: RNAcentral